GAAUAUCGAAACCAUCGGAAUUAUAGAUUCACCUGAAAGUGGUGAUGACGAAAAAGCUAUGCUAAACUUCAAAGAGACAUUUAGGCGAGAGAAUGGUAGAUAUAGCGUAACAUGGCCUUGGAAAGGUAACAGUGAGGAACUCCCAGAAAAUCGCGGGUUAGCUUUGGGUCGACUUAGGUCACUUGUGAAAAGAAUUCAAAAAGAAUCUGAUUUGAUGGAAAGAUAUGAUAACGUGAUAAAGGACCAAGUUGAAAAGGGUAUUAUCGAAAAGGUUGAACGUAAUUCAUACAGUGGAUCAAAGCAUUAUAUUCCUCACCAUGUAGUGAUUACAGCAGAUACGACCACGACGAAAUUGAGAGUAGUCUACGAUGCUUCUGCAAAAGUCAGAAAACAAGGCUCUUCAUUCUUCAAGACGUUAAUAAAUAUAUCCAUGCAAACAGCCGUAUCCGAGGAUUUUUGCACUGUGGAGUAGGGUGCGUACAAUCGAUCGUUUGUGUUCAAGGUGGUGGUUGGACUGACAGUUCAGAUACUGGUCGGUCUACGUCGGCUUCCUUUAAACCGUGGUUUUCGUCGACACAUCGUCUGCUACGUGAACACAUUUCCAGGAACGGAAUACGACCGUAUGCUUCCACCUCUGAUGUGAACUUACUAUGUUAUUCAUUUGAGUUGAUGUGAUCCGUGAAAUCGUGGAUAUCGUAUUCAUUGAUUUUUGUCAUGGUGUCGUCCACGUACAGAGGAACGGUGUGUUCCGGGCAGUUUCCAAAGCCUGCUUCUCAAAGAACUCCAUAUAUAAGUUCGAGACGAUCGGCGAUACAGGAGAUCCCAUGGCCGCACCUUGCUUCUGUUGGAAGAAUUGUUGAUUGUAUAUGAAAUAUGUGCUACUAAGGAAGAGGUCUAACAUCUCAAUCAAUUGUUCAACACUGAGCUCAGAUCGUUCGUUGAGUUUGAUGUCUUCAGCCAAUUUGCUCUUGAUCACUCUGAGUGCUUUAGGUACUGGAAUUGAAGUGAAAAGUGCUGAUACAUCAUAUGAUACCAGUUUCGUGCCUGGGGGUACUUCGAGAUCCUUGAUCUUCUGAACGAAAUCCCCCGAGUUAAAUAUGUGGUGUUCCGUUUUACCCGCCAAAGGGCUAAUGACCGAAGCAAUGUAUUUAGCGGUUACGUACAGUACGCCCCCUGUGCUUGAUACAAUGAGUCGUUAAAGAGUAUCCUUUUUGUGAAUUUUUCGAAGUCCGUAUAGUUUUGGAACGUUCUCUGCUGUGGGAUACACCCGGGGUGUAUGACAUUCUCCUCGUAUCACGUGACCCUUUACCGGUCAUGUGACUGUGACGUCAGUAAGCCAGUAAUCAGCUGAUAAAGAAGAUGUGAUAUCUUCGAAAAUUCCAAGGUAAACAAACUGGCUCUGAGUCCAAGAACUUACUCAAUCAUGCAUCAACCAGUGCAGAGAAACCUCCAUGACCGAAUAUCAUUUGCGUUUCGUUUUUUGUAUUGUUGAUGAUUUUCUACAUUUUCGAGUGAUUGAUUCAUCGGGAAUCAAACGCAAUAAGUCUCUAACCAAUACGAUCGUCAUGAAAAAAUCUCAACCUUGGUGCAACCGACAAUCAAAACAUGUCUGUGCGCACGCCGACCAGUCAUCGAUUUGAACCCUUCCUUGGCUUUUCUGUUUGAGUUUGAAUGUAACUGCCGUGAUACUUCCUUGACGUUGGUUGAUAUUUGCUUGGAGUGAAGGAAGAUUAUUAAAAUAGACCAGACUAUAUUCAAAAUAUACUAAUAAAAGCGUGUUGCAAUGCUACUUUUUACACACUAAACGACAUCAUCAGAUA
Dreissena polymorpha is the source of this 1820-nucleotide long non-coding RNA. RefSeq lists it as uncharacterized. Lineage: Eukaryota; Metazoa; Mollusca; Bivalvia; Myida; Dreissenidae. The record is from RefSeq and is a predicted model, not a curated record. The transcript has 3 exons.